CCUACGGGAGGCAGCAGUGGGGAAUAUUGCACAAUGGGGGAAACCCUGAUGCAGCGACGCCGCGUGAGUGAAGAAGUAUUUCGGUAUGUAAAGCUCUAUCAGCAGGGAAGAAAAUGACGGUACCUGAGUAAGAAGCCCCGGCUAACUACGUGCCAGCAGCCGCGGUAAUACGUAGGGGGCAAGCGUUAUCCGGAUUUACUGGGUGUAAAGGGAGCGUAGACGGCAGCACAAGUCUGGAGUGAAAUGCCGGGGCUUAACCCCGUAACUGCUUUGGAAACUGUGCAGCUAGAGUGCAGGAGAGGUAAGUGGAAUUCCUAGUGUAGCGGUGAAAUGCGUAGAUAUUAGGAGGAACACCAGUGGCGAAGGCGGCUUACUGGACUGUAACUGACGUUGAGGCUCGAAAGCGUGGGGAGCAAACAGGAUUAGAUACCCCAGUAGUC
RNAcentral lists this ribosomal RNA (440 nucleotides) under uncultured bacterium. RNAcentral describes it as "partial 16S ribosomal RNA". It matches the Rfam family "Bacterial small subunit ribosomal RNA", at positions 338 to 795 of the family's 1533-position model. The record is from RNAcentral.